This is a long non-coding RNA of Erinaceus europaeus (western European hedgehog), 349 nucleotides long. RefSeq lists it as uncharacterized. The record is from RefSeq and is a predicted model, not a curated record. NCBI's taxonomy places the organism in Eukaryota, Metazoa, Chordata, Mammalia, Eulipotyphla, Erinaceidae. The transcript is spliced from 2 exons.
CCUGGAGCCUUUUCGGUGACAUUGCGCAUGUGCAGACUUCCAUCCCUCGCCUCUCCCCUCCCCAAUACUUCCCUGGAAUGUUAAUGUAAGGCGACCAGCGGAAAAUGUUUGCUAGAUUAAGAAAACGAUAUGAACUCACCUUUCCCCCACCAGAUUCCAGAUGCUAGGAGAAAGGAGCAUGGCGGCAGAGAUCAAUCCAAGCUACCAGUGAAAAUUGCCCUCCAAGUCAUCACUGAUAACCUGCAAGGAGAACACUAUUCAUGCUUCCUUGUCAAGCCCAUGUAUCAACAAUUGUACUGUAAACUCUCAUCCCCCAAUAAAAAUAUUCAGAAAAAAUGAAUUAAAAAAA